AGUUUUAAUAAUUUAAAUAAAAUAUUGGUCUUGUAAAUCAAAAAUAAGAAUUCUUUUAAAAC
Molecule: transfer RNA, 62 nt
Filed under: Galerucinae sp. 1 ACP-2013
Lineage: Eukaryota; Metazoa; Arthropoda; Insecta; Coleoptera; Chrysomelidae
Description: tRNA-Thr
Source: RNAcentral